This 253-nucleotide ribosomal RNA is filed under the name uncultured bacterium. RNAcentral describes it as "partial 16S ribosomal RNA". It matches the Rfam family "Bacterial small subunit ribosomal RNA", at positions 524 to 776 of the family's 1533-position model. The record is from RNAcentral.
UACGGAGGGGGCUAGCGUUGUUCGGAAUCACUGGGCGUAAAGCGCACGUAGGCGGCUUUGUAAGUUAGAGGUGAAAGCCCAGGGCUUAACCCUGGAAUUGCCUUUAAGACUGCAUCGCUAGAAUCGUGGAGAGGUGAGUGGAAUUCCGAGUGUAGAGGUGAAAUUCGUAGAUAUUCGGAAGAACACCAGUGGCGAAGGCGACUCACUGGACACGUAUUGACGCUGAGGUGCGAAAGCGUGGGGAGCAAACAGG